GAUGAACGCUGGCGGCGUGCCUAAAACAUGCAAGUCGUGCGGCAGCGGGCCUUCGGGUGCCGGCGAGCGGCGGACGGGUGAGUAACGCGUAGGAACGUACCCCAAAGUGAGGGAUAAGCUCCGGAAACGGAGUCUAAUACCGCAUAUGCUCUUAGGAGUAAAGGAGUAAUCCGCUUUGGGAGCGGCCUGCGUCCGAUUAGUUUGUUGGUGAGGUAAUGGCUUACCAAGACGAUGAUCGGUAGCUGGUUUGAGAGGAUGAUCAGCCACACUGGGACUGGGACACGGCCCAGACUCCUACGGGAGGCAGCAGUUAGGAAUUUUCCACAAUGGGGGCAACCCUGAUGGAGCAACGCCGCGUGCAGGAAGACGGCCUUCGGGUUGUAAACUGCUUUUAAAAGUGAAGAUUAUGACGGCAACUUUAGAAUAAGGAUCGGCUAACUCCGUGCCAGCCGCCGCAGUAA
Molecule: ribosomal RNA, 461 nt
Filed under: uncultured bacterium
Lineage: Bacteria
Description: partial 16S ribosomal RNA
Rfam family: Bacterial small subunit ribosomal RNA
Source: RNAcentral